UGCCAGCAGCCGCGGUAAUACGUAGGGUGCAAACGUUGUUCGGAAUUACUGGGCAUAAAGAGCUCGUAGGCGGCCGUGCAAGUGUGGAGUGAAAUCCCACGGCUCACCCGUGGAAUUGCUUCGCAGACUGCUCGGCUAGAGGAUGGUAAGGGAGAGCGGAACUCCUGGUGGAGCGGUGAAAUGCGUAGAUAUCAGGAGGAACACCGGUGGCGAAGGCGGCUCUCUGGUCCAUUUCUGACGCUGAGGAGCGAAAGCCAGGGUAGCGAACGGGAUUAGAUA
Molecule: ribosomal RNA, 279 nt
Filed under: uncultured bacterium
Lineage: Bacteria
Description: partial 16S ribosomal RNA
Rfam family: Bacterial small subunit ribosomal RNA
Source: RNAcentral